UAGCAGCACAUCAUGGAUUGCG
This 22-nucleotide microRNA is filed under the name Petromyzon marinus (sea lamprey). RNAcentral describes it as "pma-miR-15b". Its record names the gene pma-miR-15b. The record is from miRBase by way of RNAcentral. Lineage: Eukaryota; Metazoa; Chordata; Hyperoartia; Petromyzontiformes; Petromyzontidae.